This 214-nucleotide ribosomal RNA is filed under the name uncultured bacterium. Its description in RNAcentral is "partial 16S ribosomal RNA". It matches the Rfam family "Bacterial small subunit ribosomal RNA", at positions 116 to 334 of the family's 1533-position model. The record is from RNAcentral.
CGUGGGUGACCUGCCCUGGAGUGGGGAAUAACUCUGCGAAAGCAGAGCUAAUACCGCAUAGGCUUCCCGGUUCAAGCGGGAAGCAAAGCCUUGUGCGCUCUAGGAGGGGCCUGCGGCAGAUUAGCUAGUCGGUGGGGUAAUGGCCUACCGAGGCGACGAUCUGUAGCUGGUCUGAGAGGAUGACCAGCCACACUGGGACUGAGACACGGCCCAG